AGUGGGAUAGCUGGGUCAAACGAUGGCUCCAUUCCAAGUUUUCUAAGGAAUCUCCAUAAUGCUUUCCAGAGAGGUUGCACCAUAUGCAGUCCCACCAGCAAU
Molecule: microRNA precursor, 102 nt
Filed under: Marmota monax (woodchuck)
Lineage: Eukaryota; Metazoa; Chordata; Mammalia; Rodentia; Sciuridae
Source: RNAcentral